UACGGGGGGGGCAAGCGUUGUUCGGAAUUACUGGGCGUAAAGGGCUCGUAGGUGGCCAACUAAGUCAGACGUGAAAUCCCUCGGCUUAACCGGGGAACUGCAUCUGAUACUGGAUGGCUUGAGUUCGGGAGAGGGAUGCGGAAUUCCAGGUGUAGCGGUGAAAUGCGUAGAUAUCUGGAGGAACACCGGUGGCGAAGGCGGGUCUCUGGGCCGAUACUGACGCUGAGGAGCGAAAGCGUGGGGAGCGAACAGG
RNAcentral lists this ribosomal RNA (253 nucleotides) under uncultured bacterium. Its description in RNAcentral is "partial 16S ribosomal RNA". It matches the Rfam family "Bacterial small subunit ribosomal RNA", at positions 524 to 776 of the family's 1533-position model. The record is from RNAcentral.